RNAcentral lists this ribosomal RNA (373 nucleotides) under uncultured Glomeromycotina. RNAcentral's name for it is "LSU rRNA". The record is from RNAcentral. Lineage: Eukaryota; Fungi; Glomeromycota.
UUGAAAGGGAAACGAUUGAAGUCAGUCGUACCAGCGGGAAUCAACCUUUCGAGUGGGGNUUUGGAGUUUUGAAGUGUGUCAAAACCUUUGAGAUUUUAAAAUUUUCGCUCUUUUGGUGUACUUUCUCGUGGGUAGGUUAACAUCGAUUUUGAUCAUCAUAAAAAGAUUGGAGGAAUGUAGCUUCGAUCUUGUAUUGAAGUGUUAUAGCCUUUGGUAAAUGUGAUGAUUAGGAUCGAGGAUUGCAACGAAUACCCUUUUGGGCUAUCCGCCUGAUCUCUGAUACGUGGCCUUGGCAUCGAAAGCUUGCUUAUGGUAUCAAGGUAUUACGGUCAAAAGGUUAGAACGGAUUACAUUCGUUAAGGAUGUUGACGUA